This 478-nucleotide ribosomal RNA is filed under the name uncultured bacterium. RNAcentral describes it as "partial 16S ribosomal RNA". It matches the Rfam family "Bacterial small subunit ribosomal RNA", at positions 29 to 507 of the family's 1533-position model. The record is from RNAcentral.
AUGAACGCUGGCGGCGUGCUUCACACAUGCAAGUCGAACGAAGCACUUUAACCUGAUUCUUCGGAUGAAGGUUUUUGUGACUGAGUGGCGGACGGGUGAGUAACGCGUGGGUAACCUGCCUCAUACAGGGGGAUAACAGUUAGAAAUGACUGCUAAUACCGCAUAAGACCACAGAGCCGCAUGGCUCGGUGGGAAAAACUCCGGUGGUAUGAGAUGGACCCGCGUCUGAUUAGGUAGUUGGUGGGGUAACGGCCUACCAAGCCAACGAUCAGUAGCCGACCUGAGAGGGUGACCGGCCACAUUGGGACUGAGACACGGCCCAAACUCCUACGGGAGGCAGCAGUGGGGAAUAUUGCACAAUGGGGGAAACCCUGAUGCAGCGACGCCGCGUGAGCGAAGAAGUAUUUCGGUAUGUAAAGCUCUAUCAGCAGGGAAGAAAAUGACGGUACCUGACUAAGAAGCACCGGCUAAAUACGUG